AUGACAAAUCUAGAAAUCAAGACUUUAUUAGUUGCAGUUGCCAUUCAUGGAGUCGUGGGUCAGAUCAAACUGGAGCAGUCGCCCUCUGUGGUGAAAAAGCCCGGAGAAGCAACAAAGAUAUCCUGCUCUGUGAAUGGAUUUGACAAAGCUAACGAGUUUGUUCACUGGACACGGCAAAAGACAGGGAGAGCUCUCGAGUGGAUCGGAAGACAGUCUCUGUCACAGCAAGAAUAUUCUUCAUCCUUUCAAAGUCGUUUUACUCUCUCAUAUGACGCGUCCCGCAGCUCUGCACACCUCAGCAUCAGGAGUCUGACAGAGGCAGACUCUGCCGUGUACUUCUGUGCUCAUACAGCACAGUGGCUCAAAACGCCACAACACCAGUGUAAAAACCUCCCAGAGAAAAACAAGGGAUGA
Molecule: non-coding RNA, 414 nt
Organism: Gambusia affinis (western mosquitofish)
Lineage: Eukaryota; Metazoa; Chordata; Actinopteri; Cyprinodontiformes; Poeciliidae
Source: the annotation of a RefSeq genome assembly